GUGAGCGUAGUUCAGUUGGUUAGAACAUCAGAUUGUGAUUCUGAGGGUCGCGGGUUCGAGUCCCGUCGCCCACCCCA
This 77-nucleotide transfer RNA is filed under the name Bacteroidota bacterium. RNAcentral describes it as "Bacteroidetes bacterium tRNA-His". It matches the Rfam family "tRNA". From Rfam's summary of the family: Transfer RNA (tRNA) molecules are approximately 80 nucleotides in length. Their secondary structure includes four short double-helical elements and three loops (D, anti-codon, and T loops). Further hydrogen bonds mediate the characteristic L-shaped molecular structure. tRNAs have two regions of fundamental functional importance: the anti-codon, which is responsible for specific mRNA codon recognition, and the 3' end, to which the tRNAs corresponding amino acid is attached (by aminoacyl-tRNA synthetases). tRNAs cope with the degeneracy of the genetic code in two manners: having more than one tRNA (with a specific anti-codon) for a particular amino acid; and 'wobble' base-pairing, i.e. permitting non-standard base-pairing at the 3rd anti-codon position. RNAcentral also lists the same sequence under 2 other names. Lineage: Bacteria; Pseudomonadati; Bacteroidota. The record is from RNAcentral.